RNA transcript from Tripterygium wilfordii, 2208 nucleotides. RefSeq lists it as uncharacterized. The record is from RefSeq and is a predicted model, not a curated record. The transcript is spliced from 3 exons. Lineage: Eukaryota; Viridiplantae; Streptophyta; Magnoliopsida; Celastrales; Celastraceae.
CACCAUCUAAACGACGAGGAUAGGUCGCAAGCUUGACAUCUCUUUUGGUUUUUGACUUGGUCGUUCAAACACCAGUACCGAAUAUCCCCAACAAACCUCGCGAAAUCACUACCUAAAACCCCUAAUUUUGCCAUACAUGAAACCAAAACCCCCAUUUUCCAAGCCAUUCUCUCAUUUUUGCUUCUUUCUCAGCCCCGAUUCUCGCAUCAUUCCCAUCCCGAAAACCGAAUUUCUAGGGUCUCAUGGAUGAUAACAAAGAAAAAGUUCGUGACCUCACCGUUUCGAUCCCUAAAACGUCGAAUUCGUAUCACUUGAUCCCAAAUCCGUCGUUGAAUCAAUCUUCAUGGCUUGAAAUUCGACUCUUUUAUGUCCGGAUUGCUCCUUGCGUGAUGGACAGCGUUCCCGAUCACCUCACGCUCUGCCAUUUCCGUCGCGAGAUCGGCGUUUCUCUUGAAAUCAAUGGUUCCUAUAUCCCCGCUGCAGAUUCAGCCUCCCUCACACUCCGUCGCGAUCGCCUCAACAAGGAUUACCCCGAGGUUACUUAUGUGAGCACAGAUGGCGUACGUGUUACGGGCAGUAUCGAAUUUGAGGUGUUGGAGAACGAGGACAUGAUUCUCUGCGGUUCUUUGGAGAGGAUGGAGUCUACGUGGGGGAAUGGGACCGUGGGAUUGGAGAUUGAUUCAAGAACUGGUUGGAGUAUGGAUUGCUAUAUGACCGCAGGCAUUGGGGCUGGCAGUUCAGCGUUUUUUCAGCCGAGGCUGGGGGUAUCUGCACCUGCAAUUGAGAUUUAUAUCGCUGGGUGCUGUGGCGGUGUGCCUGUGAUAUUAACAAAGACGAUCCAGGUAAGUCCAAGGAGAAAAGGUUUGAGGCAUGGGACGCUUGAUGCGAUUCCUGAGGAUGAGGAGUUUGGGAGGGAGCAGAAGGGUGGAAAUGUACUGGUUCGCCACAGCAAAGUGCAGAUAACAGAAACAGAUGCAGACACUGAUGCUUAUGACAUGGCCGGAAAAAUUGGAAACAGCUACUAUUCGGAAGAGAUGUACACUGGUGAGGAUGGCCAACUCUCAUGGUUCAAUGCUGGUGUUAGAGUUGGUGUUGGAAUUGGCCUAGGGAUGUGCCUUGGGGUUGGGAUUGGUGUUGGACUGCUCAUGCGUUCGUAUCAAGCAACUACCCGAAAUUUCAGGAGGAGGUUUUUGUGAGUUGACUCUUUCCAUUUUGGGAUUUUGCUAAUCUGGUUCUAUGUAGAGGGAAUGAAGUCUUCCACCAUUUGGUGACAAAGGCAUGAAGAGUUCAACAUUGUGGCCAAAGAGGUAACAUAGAAGGGCCAAUCAGGCAAUCAAUUAAAGCGCACUUUUUGGUGAUGGAUGGAGGCUGUACAGUGUUCUUUUUUUAUUAAGAUUUCCCUGGAUAGAAAUCUUACGUGAGGAGUUGCUGAAAGUCUCCCAUCUCGGUUCAAUGAUCAUUGAAAAUAAAAGGUGGAUAUCUCGUGUGUGAUUCAAUCUUUGGACCCGGAGUAUUCAGAACUGGAACAUAUUAAGGCGCUUUUGUUACGACCACUCGUUGGAGAGUUCACUUGUUCGGAGGCCGGAAUGAGCUUCUGUGGUGCACGAGUCUCUCAUGAAGGUGUGUUUCAUAAUUCUUGCCUAGACUUGGUGCACCUGGUAUGCAUGGUGUUGUGGGGUUUGUGGAGAAACAGAAAUGAAAUUGUAUGGAAUAAUAAGAGACAAACCGUUUCCCAAGUGUUGAAUUUAGCAAGCUCCUUCCGUUUCCAAUGGCAAUCUGCCCAAGUUCUUCCCAAUGGUGAUCAGCUGCCAUUGAUGGAUGAAGGGGUGGUUUGCUGACAAAAACCAAGUGUUGGCUGGUUGAAGUGUAAUGUGGACGGUGCUUUAUUCCAGGCUCAAAAUAAAUUGGGGUUCGGCUGGGUGUUACGUGAUGGUUUGGGUCAAAUGCAGGCUGCUGGUAGUGGUGCUUUGAGAGGGUUUUUGGAUGCUAGGUUGGCUGAAGCUUUAAGCUUUCGUGAGGCCCUUCGGUGGUUAAGAGAUAAUGCUAUUUCCAAUGUUAUUAUUGAGUCUGAUGCGCUGAUCAUCGUGCAGGCUAUGAAGUCUUCAUGUUUGGAUAGCUCUUACAUUGGCGUUAUCAUUGAUGAUUGCAAAUCUCUUUUGAAGGAGAUAAACAACUAUAGGAUUUCCCAAUACCUCUGUAAUUUCCUCU